GAAACAUCUUAGUACCCGGAGGAAGAGAAAGAAAAUUCGAUUCCCUUAGUAGCGGCGAGCGAAACGGGAAGAGCCCAAACCAACAAGCUUGCUUGUUGGGGUUGUAGGACACUCUAUACGGAGUUACAAAGGACGACAUUAGACGAAUCAUCUGGAAAGAUGAAUCAAAGAAGGUAAUAAUCCUGUAGUCGAAAAUGUUGUCUCUCUUGAGUGGAUCCUGAGUACGACGGAGCACGUGAAAUUCCGUCGGAAUCUGGGAGGACCAUCUCCUAAGGCUAAAUACUCUCUAGUGACCGAUAGUGAACCAGUACCGUGAGGGAAAGGUGAAAAGCACCCCGGAAGGGGAGUGAAAUAGAACCUGAAACCGUGUGCUUACAAGUAGUCAGAGCCCGUUAAUGGGUGAUGGCGUGCCUUUUGUAGAAUGAACCGGCGAGUUACGAUUUGAUGCAAGGUUAAGCAGUAAAUGUGGAGCCGUAGCGAAAGCGAGUCUGAAUAGGGCGUUUAGUAUUUGGUCGUAGACCCGAAACCAGGUGAUCUACCCUUGGUCAGGUUGAAGUUCAGGUAACACUGAAUGGAGGACCGAACCGACUUACGUUGAAAAGUGAGCGGAUGAACUGAGGGUAGCGGAGAAAUUCCAAUCGAACCUGGAGAUAGCUGGUUCUCUCCGAAAUAGCUUUAGGGCUAGCCUCAAGUGAUGAUUAUUGGAGGUAGAGCACUGUUUGGACGAGGGGCCCCUCUCGGGUUACCGAAUUCAGACAAACUCCGAAUGCCAAUUAAUUUAACUUGGGAGUCAGAACAUGGGUGAUAAGGUCCGUGUUCGAAAGGGAAACAGCCCAGACCACCAGCUAAGGUCCCAAAAUAUAUGUUAAGUGGAAAAGGAUGUGGCGUUGCCCAGACAACUAGGAUGUUGGCUUAGAAGCAGCCAUCAUUUAAAGAGUGCGUAAUAGCUCACUAGUCGAGUGACACUGCGCCGAAAAUGUACCGGGGCUAAACAUAUUACCGAAGCUGUGGAUUGUCCUUUGGACAAUGGUAGGAGAGCGUUCUAAGGGCGUUGAAGCAUGAUCGUAAGGACAUGUGGAGCGCUUAGAAGUGAGAAUGCCGGUGUGAGUAGCGAAAGACGGGUGAGAAUCCCGUCCACCGAUUGACUAAGGUUUCCAGAGGAAGGCUCGUCCGCUCUGGGUUAGUCGGGUCCUAAGCUGAGGCCGACAGGCGUAGGCGAUGGAUAACAGGUUGAUAUUCCUGUACCACCUAUAAUCGUUUUAAUCGAUGGGGGGACGCAGUAGGAUAGGCGAAGCGUGCGAUUGGAUUGCACGUCUAAGCAGUAAGGCUGAGUAUUAGGCAAAUCCGGUACUCGUUAAGGCUGAGCUGUGAUGGGGAGAAGACAUUGAGUCUUCGAGUCGUUGAUUUCACACUGCCGAGAAAAGCCUCUAGAUAGAAAAUAGGUGCCCGUACCGCAAACCGACACAGGUAGUCAAGAUGAGAAUUCUAAGGUGAGCGAGCGAACUCUCGUUAAGGAACUCGGCAAAAUGACCCCGUAACUUCGGGAGAAGGGGUGCUCUUUAGGGUUAACGCCCAGAAGAGCCGCAGUGAAUAGGCCCAAGCGACUGUUUAUCAAAAACACAGGUCUCUGCUAAACCGUAAGGUGAUGUAUAGGGGCUGACGCCUGCCCGGUGCUGGAAGGUUAAGAGGAGUGGUUAGCUUCUGCGAAGCUACGAAUCGAAGCCCCAGUAAACGGCGGCCGUAACUAUAACGGUCCUAAGGUAGCGAAAUUCCUUGUCGGGUAAGUUCCGACCCGCACGAAAGGCGUAACGAUUUGGGCACUGUCUCAACGAGAGACUCGGUGAAAUCAUAGUACCUGUGAAGAUGCAGGUUACCCGCGACAGGACGGAAAGACCCCGUGGAGCUUUACUGUAGCCUGAUAUUGAAAUUCGGCACAGCUUGUACAGGAUAGGUAGGAGCCUUUGAAACGUGAGCGCUAGCUUACGUGGAGGCGCUGGUGGGAUACUACCCUAGCUGUGUUGGCUUUCUAACCCGCACCACUUAUCGUGGUGGGAGACAGUGUCAAGCGGGCAGUUUGACUGGGGCGGUCGCCUCCUAAAAGGUAACGGAGGCGCUCAAAGGUUCCCUCAGAAUGGUUGGAAAUCAUUCAUAGAGUGUAAAGGCAUAAGGGAGCUUGACUGCGAGACCUACAAGUCGAGCAGGGUCGAAAGACGGACUUAGUGAUCCGGUGGUUCCGCAUGGAAGGGCCAUCGCUCAACGGAUAAAAGCUACCCCGGGGAUAACAGGCUUAUCUCCCCCAAGAGUUCACAUCGACGGGGAGGUUUGGCACCUCGAUGUCGGCUCAUCGCAUCCUGGGGCUGUAGUCGGUCCCAAGGGUUGGGCUGUUCGCCCAUUAAAGCGGUACGCGAGCUGGGUUCAGAACGUCGUGAGACAGUUCGGUCCCUAUCCGUCGUGGGCGUAGGAAAUUUGAGAGGAGCUGUCCUUAGUACGAGAGGACCGGGAUGGACAUACCUCUGGUGUACCAGUUGUCGUGCCAACGGCAUAGCUGGGUAGCUAUGUGUGGACGGGAUAAGUGCUGAAAGCAUCUAAGCAUGAAGCCCCCCUCAAGAUGAGAUUUCCCAACUUCGGUUAUAAGAUCCCUCAAAGAUGAUGAGGUUAAUAGGUUCGAGGUGGAAGCAUGGUGACAUGUGGAGCUGACGAAUACUAAUCGAUCGAAGACUUAAUCAA
Molecule: ribosomal RNA, 2727 nt
Filed under: Staphylococcus aureus W39821
Lineage: Bacteria; Bacillati; Bacillota; Bacilli; Caryophanales; Staphylococcaceae
Description: bacterial LSU rRNA
Rfam family: Bacterial large subunit ribosomal RNA
Source: RNAcentral